Molecule: ribosomal RNA, 439 nt
Filed under: uncultured bacterium
Lineage: Bacteria
Description: partial 16S ribosomal RNA
Rfam family: Bacterial small subunit ribosomal RNA
Source: RNAcentral
CCUACGGGAGGCAGCAGUGGGGAAUAUUGCACAAUGGGGGAAACCCUGAUGCAGCGACGCCGCGUGAGUGAAGAAGUCAUUCUUUAUGUAAAGCUCUAUCAGCAGGGGAGAAAAUGACGGUACCUGAGUAAGCCUCCCCGGCUCCCUACGUGCCAGCCGCCGCGGUACUACGUAGGGGGCAAGCUUUAUCCGGAUUUACUGGGUGUAAAGGGAGCGUAGACGGCAGUGCAAGUCUGGAGUGAAAGGCGGGGCUCAACCCCCGGACUGCUCUGGAAACUGUACGGCUGGAGUGCAGGAGAGGUAAGUGGAAUUCCUAGUGUAGCGGUGAAAUGCGUAGAUAUUAGGAGGAACACCAGUGGCGAAGGCGGCUUACUGGACUGUAACUGACGUUGAGGCUCGAAAGCGUGGGGAGCAAACAGGAUUAGAUACCCCUGUAGUC